GGUAAAAGGCUGGGCUGAAGGACAAGAAGGGCAGAGGCUUGAAGCCUUCUGAGGUGUUAUGGUGUCACUCUGUAUGGGUUGAAGCUUUCUGAAAUUGUAUGGGGACACUUUAUGUAUUGUGGCCAUCUCAGCUGUGGCAUGUGCUGCGACAGCCACAUGCACACCCUGUGUUCCUCUCCUUGAACAGCUCCUUCCCAUCCCUUAUUUCUCGUGAUGGGACAAGCUCAUGCAGGUGGAGGCUGUUACAGCCCAGCCCCAGCAUCGAAUCUCACGGGGCAACAUCAGCACCUUCCAACAGAAAAGGUCUGUGGUGGUCAAGUGACCAGCUGGAACGAUUCAAUGGGAUUUAAUCAUUGCUUCAGUCAUACAGGACACCAUCACCCCACGGAGCUGCAAACAGGGUCUGUGCUGCCUGUGAAACCUUGGUGCCAACUUGCCUUUGCUUGGGUAUCAGCUGGUGAUCUCUGGCCAGGUUGAGUCUGGCACUCAGGGUGUCCUGCUUGGUCCCACACCAACCUGGCAGAGGAAUUUUAAAUACUGGAUAAGACUCUCCACAGGAGACAGAGGAGUUUGGACUGGUGUGGAAGAGUUUCACAGCGACUUCUGUGAGCCAGAGAAAGUCUGAUAAGAGGAUCCAUGUUUACCUCUGAAAGAAUUUCCUACCAAGGUCGUUGACAUAGAAACCAAGAAAGAAAGAAGGAGAAAUAAGAGAAACCUGCAACUGCCUGUUCCAGUGAGCACUUUGUCUCUCAUGACCAAUGAGCAAAGUGUAAACUUAUGAGUUCUGUAAGAAUGUAUAAAAAGCAUGCAUGCUAGAAUAAAAACAGGUUUGAAGCCUUCUGAAAA
Passer domesticus (house sparrow) is the source of this 846-nucleotide long non-coding RNA. RefSeq lists it as uncharacterized. The record is from RefSeq and is a predicted model, not a curated record. Lineage: Eukaryota; Metazoa; Chordata; Aves; Passeriformes; Passeridae. The transcript is spliced from 2 exons.